Molecule: non-coding RNA, 8177 nt
Organism: Callithrix jacchus (white-tufted-ear marmoset)
Lineage: Eukaryota; Metazoa; Chordata; Mammalia; Primates; Cebidae
Source: RefSeq, a predicted model, not a curated record
GCCCUGGAAGAGAGGGAAGAAAGCCUGUGAGCUACUAGCCCAGGUUAAGUAAAGGCAUGAAAUUCCCUCUCACUGAACUGAAACGAGCCUCAACCAGACCUGACAGCAACUUCCCCGGUGCCGCCUGAGAUCUUGAUUGAGACAGAGAUACCCCGAGCGUGCAGCAUUCGCGGUGCUCCGAGACCCUCAUGAGCUUGGGUCCUCCAUGGCGGUCUCGCCACUAUACUGUGAGUUCUAGAAGGAGGCAAACUGAGUCUUAUCCCAUCAUCUCUCAGUUCUUACAUGCAGUAGACAUUUACGAGAUGUUGACUGAACUGGCCUUUUAGAAAAGCUUCUGAGCUAUGUUUUAAAGCAGCUGUUCGACCAGGAUUGUUUGGAUUCCAGCCAGGUGAGAAGCCAGGAUGAAGGGCAGGGUUAUUACUGACUGAGCGGCUUCUCCCUCCUGGCUCCUCUGGUUCGGUUUCCACAACUGAAGUCACGGAGCAAACAGCACAUCACUCCUCAGACUUUGCUCCGGCCCGGCCACAUGGGAAGUCCCCAGUGCUUGCCGCACCUUUUCAUCCCAGGAGCCAUGUGUGUCAAAUGCUCUUGGGGGACCAAAGGCUCAGGAGCUGCUGGCUGCUGCCUGGUCACAGACUGCUGUGUCACUUCAGGGCCACAGCCCAUGUGGCUGUGGGCAGAGGGCAUUCAAGAUAGUUCCUCAAAUAUUAAAUCCUAAAAACUCGCUCACAAAUGGGCAUCAUUGUUUUUGCCCAAACCAGAGGUAAAAAUGAAAAAGCGGUAGGCUUGGGAUGUCCCCAGCCACCCUCACAAAAGCAGCCAUAGGCUUCGAGCUCAGCUCCCUGGGAGUAGUGCGGAUGGAGAGCUCCCCACCCUUUCAAAGCAGCCAGAUCUUAUCUUUUCUAGAGGAAGCUUCAGGGUAUGUGAAGGCAGACCCGACUUCAGGAUUCAGAGCCAGAGCCUGUGAACACCAGCGUGAGUGCACCCAGGGGGUUUGAGAGAUGGCAUGAGCCCUGGAGAUGCUGGCCUUAGAGGCUGACGUCGGUCACCAAACACCCAGAGCCGCCUGUAGCAGCCAUAGAGAGCUGGCACCUAUGGAGUCUCCAGCCCUUCUUGGGCCUUUUAUUUAGCGCCUGCAUCGCCUCUCGAAGUGGCAGACUCCACAAGCACCGGCGUCAGGAAGUACCGCCUUGCACACAUCAAAGCUGCCCUCUUAUGUUUCAUAGGAAAAGACAGAAUUCAAGGGACACCUUCUCAGCCACAUAUUGUGGGAUUUGCACAACUAAUUCUAGUGCUACCUAUACCUUUCAUUAAAAAAUGUUCACAGGCGGGACUCUUUACUAAAAAAUUCACAGGCCCAACUAGCCUCUUGAGAAAUAAAGACAUGCUCACUGCCCUCUUAGAGCAGCCUCAGGCAUAACUGCGGCCACACAGAUAGCCACGACAAUCCUAUGUAAGUGGCUGUUUAAAAAAAUAUUUGAGAUCAUCUUCUAGAAUUUACUUAUUUUGUGUGGAAAUAGGGGUCUUGCUAGGUUGCCCAGGCUGGCCUUUAGCACUUGGGCUGAAGUGAUCCUUAUGCCUCGAGCCUCCCAAGCAGCUAGGACUACAGGUGUGUGUCACCAAACCUGGCCACUUUAAAAAUUUUUAACCUGCACUGACUCAGGAGAAAAGUUUCGAAAGCGCAAAGAUCUGUUAUAUCCCAGGUGACAAAUGCAAGUAGCACUUCAAACUUUAGGGUACUUGUAAUUAAAAUCAGGCGAUCUUUUUUUUUUUUUUUUUUUUUUUUGAGAUGGAGUUUCACUUUUGUUGCCCAGGCUGGAGUGCAAUGGUACGAUCUUGGCUCACUGCAACCUCUGCCUCCCGGGUUCAAGUGAUUCUCCUGCCUCAGCCUCCCAAGUGGCUGGGAUUACAGGCACGUGCCACUACGCCCAGCUAAUUUUCUAUUUUUAGUAGAGAUGGGGUUUCUCCAUGUUGGUCAGGCUGGUCUCAAACUCCUAACCUCAGGAGAUCACCUGCCUUGGCCUCCCAAAGUGCUGGGGUUACAGGUGUGAGCCCCCACACCCGGCUCAUCUUUUAGGAAUAAUGUUUGCUUAAAACAAAAAACUAUAAAUCAGAACUAGGUUUUCUCUCUUUCUCAAGAAACUCACAGUCUAACUAGGUUAUGUUUUACGUACAGAGCCCUCUAAAGAGGGGCAUUUACUGAAGUACAAUUUAGAGGCCUAAAAACACUGCUGACUUACUCAUCUUUCAUGACCUCAGGAAUUAAAGGACACCACUUAAUUGAAGAAACCGCUAUGGUUGAUUUUUGUUCUAAAGGGAACGAAAUUUAAAAAGGAUCUGAUGAGUUAGAAUAAAACUUACAGCUUCUCUCAGAAUUUACACUUCCAAAAAGGUAGAGCAUGACAUUUAAAUAUGCUCUAAUGCUGUGAGAGGGACUGGCUGCUAAGUGCCUGUGUGAAAAUCAUGUGACUAUUUACAAAACUUUAGUAGGAUAAAUACAAAAAUUAGUAGGGCAUGGUGGCACACCCCUGUAAUCUUAGCUACUCAGGAAGCUGAGGCAGGAUAAUUGCUUGAACCAGGGAGGCAGAGGUUGCAAAAGAAAAAAACAACUUGAGCAGACUGGGUGUGGCGGCUCAAGCCGACUGUCCCAGCACUUUGGAAGGCUGAGGCAGGAGGGUUGCUUGAGGCCAGGAGUUCUAAAUUAGCCUGUUCAACAUAGCAAGACCUCAUCUCUACAAAAAAAUGUAAACAAUUAGCCAGGUGUGGCGCUGCACCCCUGCCAUCCCAGCUACUUAGGAGGUUGAGAUAGGGGAAUCACUUGAGCUUAGGAGGCCAUGGCUGCAGUGAGCUAUGAUUGUGCCACUGCACUCCAGCCUGGGUGACCAAACAGAAACCACAAAAACCCACUUUAGUUGUCAUGUAAGGUUAAAUGCCACACACACACACACACACACACACACACACACAUAUACACACACACAUACAUACAUACACAUAUAUAUUUUUGAGACAGAGUUUCCCUCCAUCUCAGCUCACCAUAACUUCUGCCUGCCAGGUUCAGGUGGUUCUCCUGCCUCAGCCUCCCAAGUAGCUGGGAUUACAGGCAUGUGCCACCACAGCCAGCUAAUUUUGUUUUAGCCAGGUGUAGAGAUGGGCUUUCUCCAUGUUGGCCAGGCUGGUCUCAAACUCCUGACCUCAGGUGAUCCACCUGCCUCGGCCUCCCAAAGUGUGGGGAUUAUGGGCACGAGUCACUGCGCCAGGCCCUCAUUUUGCUAGUUCUAAGGAAAAUGCACAACUGUGAAAUAAGAUGACAAGUAAACUUGGCUCAGUAACUGUCCCUGGAGGGAAAUGCCUGCAAACAGUGAGCAGGCCUGAGUGGAAGGCAAGAAAACACGACCAGAACACUCCACCAGCAUCCUGUAAUAAGACAGUACAUGCAGCAGGAUUCUGUGACCCCACACACACACCAUGCAGAUGUAACUUGAUUAGGGGUGUCCUGUGAGUGGCUUUACAAUGCUGUUUCCAUGAUUCUACCCUAUGAUACACAGGGACAGGCCCGGUGGGGAGCAGACAGAGGCAUCACAUACACCACAGGAGUGCUACUGGAUGCUUUACCCAAUAGGAAAGAACUGGGUAGAAUAGGAAUCCUUCAAUUUAAAAUCAAACUCAUGCCCAUGAGACUGGCAGAAUCAAGAAAUGUGUGGAAUACGGAGGAGGAAGGCAUGUUUCCCUUUCACCACCUCAUCUUUGCAUCAAAGGAAAAGUAAUUUAAAAGUCUACGGAUAAGAGACGGAGACAGGAGGAGGAGCAAGGAUCCAGACAAGAUGGUGGCGGCAGGAUGAUGGGAAUGACGCCGCACCUGGACACUAACAGACACCAGGGAAGGAGAAGCCGGCGCCGGCACUGCCUGGGGGUGGGCGCUGCUGGGUAUUUCUUUGAGACAGAGUCUUGCUUUAUCGCCCAGGCUGGAGUGUAGUGGCAUGAUCUCAGCUCACUGCAACCUCUGCCUCCUGGUUCAACUGAUUCUCCUGCCUCAGCCUCCCGAGUAGGAAACCUGACUUUCCUGUUAGCCCGCACAUUCCGCGAUGGACGGACCCAGGUUUCCUGUUAGCCUGCACAUUCUACAGUGGACCUGAGCAUGCCGUUCGCCCGCAUAUUCUGUGAAGGGUUGUAUUUCUACAGCUGUUGUCUAAGCUCCCCGAAUUCACUUUACAAGCUUGCUUCUUCUAAGAAGACCCUCGGAAGAAACCUCUUUGCAUUUUCUCCUGGCCUCAUGUGGUAGCUGGUGUGAUGCACCAGCCAGGUCACCAGCCAGGAGGAAGGACCUCGUUCCUGUCUGCUGCAGGCGCAGCUAAAGGUGGCCCUCAGUGGUCAGUGGGACUGUCUUGGCUGAAAGAAACUGAUUCAUCAAGGUUAUGCCUCCUUCCUGGGGCAGCCCGCACCUGAGGCUCUUCACCAUGAGUGAGGGCGCUGUCCUCGCCCCAGCGUGGUGACUGAAGGCUCUCCCAGCCCCAGAGCUCACUGGGGAGCAGCCAAGGCUUGCGCUGGGCCCACACAGCCCAGCUGCUGCCUGGAACCAAAUCUGCAGCAACCUAUUCUCUCUGAAUGGACCAGUCACGAGAGUGGAAGCUCCAGUCUUACAUCCUUAACCCCUGGAGUAAUGCUUCAAUAUUUAAGCCAAUGUAUAAAUCACACACAACAUUUUAUACAUACACCAAAGAGACAGAAGGUUAAAUACAGAACAGUUAGCUCUGCUCCUUUGUGGGCACGUCUGCAGGGGUCAUGCAGCCCUCGCUGUCUCUGGUGUAUGUGCAUUUGAGCUAGCACACGGGAUUGUUAAGUUGGUUAAUAUGAGGAAUAGACCCAGUAUAAUUAGAAUGGAGAUACAAAAGCAACUUUCUCACCCCAGAUUCCAAACAUGUGACACCCUUAGUAUCAUGGGCUCCUCCAGGAGAAGAAGAGCAAGUGCUUCAUUGGUGCUCUACCAAGAGAGGCCACAGCUCAGAGGCUGUUCCGAGUUCUGCCUCAAGGUCAGCAGGAAAAUGAAUGUGAAAGGCAAGAAAACCCUUCAAAGACCCUGACUCUGAAUUGGCUUUUUGUGCUCACUCAAUACCAAGAUCGCCUGCUGAGCACUUUCGAUUUGAUCCAGCACCACGGGUGCGAGGGAGUGUUUCAGACUCUCCUAGAGCAGGUGGCCAUGCUGAGUUUUGGAAAAACCCUUCCAGAGCAGGGCUGUGUCCUAACUAUGCCUGGGAGCACAUACUCCAAAAUUACUGGACUAUUCAUCUGUAUGUGUUUCUGCAUCUGCCUUAAAAAUAUGUGUUCAAAUACAUUCCUUAUAUUAUUUUUAAAAAUUAGAAAGUUUCAAACUUGAUUCUUCAGUAUGUUUAGACUCUCAGACAUUCAGAGGGCAAUUUGUUACAUAAUUUUCUUUUGGUGAAUCAAUUUUUUUUUUUUUUUUUUUUUUUGAGAGUCUCGAUCUGUCACCCAGGCUGGAGUGCGAUGGCACCAUCUCGGCUCACUGCAACCUCUGCCUCCCUGGUUCAAGCGAUUCUUUUGUCUCAGCCUCCCAAGUAGCCAGGAUUACAGGUGGCCAGGGCAUGGAUUACCAUGCCCUGCUAAUUUUUGUAUUUUUAUUAGAGAUGGGGUUUUACUAUGUUGGCCAGGCUGGUCUUGAACUCCUGACCUCGUGAUCCACACGCCCUGGCCUCCCAAAAUGUUGGGAUUACAGGCGUGAGCCACCGUGCCCAGCCAAUCAAAUAAUAUUUAUCACAUAUUACUAUAAUGGUCUAAAAAAAGAAAAUAUGCAAGUGGGGGUCUAGAAAAUUCCAUCAUUACCAGUAACUACCCCAUGCCAUGUAUACCUAUCUUCAGCAUAACAGGCUAAUUUUAUGGCUUAGUAUAUCUGAGGGAAGCUGGUGCUCCCACUGGAAGGAGAGGACCUGAGAGGUGCCCCCGAUAGUUCCUAUUAAGGCCCGGGGGGCCAAUUCUCUCCAGUGUUCCUCUAGGAGUGAGUGUCAUGGUCUGCCCGCUCCUGAAAGAUGAAUGUCCUCACUGGGGAAGGUACAAGAUCCUCUUAACUGUGCGAACUCUUUCUGUAAAGUUCCCAAAGCUAUGUAAGGGUCUGGACGCUGAGAGAGGAGGACAGAAAAGCAUCUGUACUUGCAUAGAGUGAGACCCGAGACGGAGCCGUGUUUAUCCCAUGGGCUCCUCAGCCCUGCUCCUGUCUGGGAUAGUUUCUGCCUCGGGCCUGAUCCUGCCUGGGCCUAAGCAGCCAUGAGUUAUUGGCCACAGCAAGGGAUGUGCUCCAUGGCUAUGGGUAGUGCUCUAUAUUUGUGCAAAAUUUAAGAUUAUUAAAAAUAGCCAUUUCACAAAGAAGUAUGCCAAAACACCAAGCUAGUUGACCCAAAAAGAUCUGGUAAGAUACUCCUUUAAGGGACAGGGACUGAGGCAAAAUCCACCAACCCAGGCACAGGAGAGCAUGAAAGAAAAACCAUCACUCACCAAAGUGAAGCUUCUGGACCGAGAGCUGCUGCUUCGACUCUCCAAGCUGCCGCCUCUGCUGAAGGCCCGGGGCCUGCAGUUGGGGGACGUGUCCGAGUUCAUGUCCGAUGAGUCUGAUUUCUGGUGGGUUACAGGCAUCCCCACAGAGUCCUCAGGGCCCAGCUCGAUCACAGGAAGCAAGGCAGGAGCCAGCAGCCCAUUCUGCGGCAACAGCUCACUUCUAGAGACACGAAUGACAAAAGUCAGUGAGCCUAGACAGUCAGCCUAGAUAGUCAAAUGCUCGAAUCCCUCAAAAGCACAGCUGAGAUCCACCUCCACUCUCAGACGUGAGCAUUAGGAUACAGGGGUCUGGGGAACGCUAAGUCAGCUGGUUUGAGGACGCCGAUUGCCACUUCUCCUUUACACUGUUAACCAUUCUGAAGACAUAAGAAUAAUUAGGCUGGGUGUGGUGGCUCAUGCCUGUAAUCCCAGCACUUUGGGAGGCAGAGGCAGGUGGAUGACCUGAGGUCAGGAGUUCAACACCAGUCUGACCAACAUGGUGAAACCCCGUCUCAAAAAGAAAAUAAUAAUAAUUAAAAUUUUUUCGGAGAUGGAGUCUUGCUACGUUGUCCAGGCUGGCACUAUACUCUUGGGCUCCAGCGAUCCCCCUGCCCCGGCCUCCUGAGUAGCUGGGAUUACAGGCACAAAUCACCAUGGCCAGCUGGAAUGAUCUCAAGGGAAGAUGGGAAAAUUCAAGAUUACUCUGGUGCUGGAAUCCUGACAGAGUAAUGUGACAUCUGCACUGAGGGUCUGCACUUCCAAGCUCUUCCACAGUCAGGCUCGCCUGUCUUUUCUGCCUCAGACACCACAAACUGUGGUUCCUUCUCUAGCUCCAUUACAGUUCAGACUUGAGGGGAGGUGACAAGAACUAACACGUUACCACUGGGAGCUUGGCUGACAUCUCCAAAACCGGAGACUGUGGAAGCCUCAUGCUACUGCAGGUUGUUCAUAAAAAGUAAAGCGCCCCAAGCUACUACUACGAGGAAGUUCCUGUUUUUACUUCUAGGAGCAAAGACACUGAAACGGUCCCCUGUAAGCCCCUUAAUGUCAUAUGGUCCUCUGACCGCCCCCUACCCCACUUUUUUGCGGAGACAAGGUCUCACUUUGUCACCCAGGCUGGAGUGCAGUGGCAGAAUCACAGCUCACUGCAGCCUGACUUCAUGGACUCAAGCAGUCCUCCCACCUCAGCCUCCUGAGUAGCUGGGACUACAGGCGUGCACUGCCACACCCAGCUUAUUGUUUGUAGAGCCAGGGUUUUGUCAUGUUUCCCAGGCUGGUCUUGACCUCCUGAGCUCAAGUGAUCUGCCUGCCUUAGCCUCCCCAAAGUGCUGGGAUUAUAGGCGUGAGCCACCGUGCCUGGGCCUCUGACCCUUUUAGCAGGAAAUCUAGCCCAGCCCCUGAACAGUGUGUUAGAGAGUUCAACAAAACCUUCUAGAAGACCAAAGAAGACUCAUAGGAAUAAGCCUCUUGCUGAUUAACAGAUACAUGACCCUUUGUGGAGAAAGGCCAAUCAGCAUUGAACACCUUUAGGGGAACCCUGUCACUCAAGACUUCAAGCAUUACCAUGAAAACCUCCGCUGAGAAACCUAACAAACAUCUCUGUCGAACAGAUUAAAAAAGAGACACAUUUCUGC